Long non-coding RNA from Morus notabilis, 453 nucleotides. RefSeq lists it as uncharacterized. The transcript has 3 exons. The record is from RefSeq and is a predicted model, not a curated record. Lineage: Eukaryota; Viridiplantae; Streptophyta; Magnoliopsida; Rosales; Moraceae.
UAUGGCUUGAAGAGAUUCUUUGGGAUAAGAAAUAUGACAUGGAUGUAUAUCGCUGCAAAGGGGUUUUGAGUGUCCAAAACUGCAAUCAACUACACACUUUGCAGGCCGUAAAGGAGAUCUAUGACAUUGUUCCAGCUCGUGAUUGGAAAGAGAGAGAAACUCGGAUGAACAAGAUAGUUUUUAUUGGUCAUAAUUUAGAUGAAAAUAUCCUGGCUGAUUCUUUCAGAGAUUUUGCAACUUGUUAAUCCUUGCACCUUAUGGAGUCCAGUUUAACCAUCUUUUUUUUUUAAAUUUUUUAUUUGGCGUAAGAAGGUUUUCAAGAAGCUGUUUGUGGUUACUUUCGUUAUGAAAAGGACAGAUUUUGAGACAUAUAGGUGGUCGGACUUACCAACAAUCUGUACGUAGUUUAUUACUUUUCGUUUAUGUAAAGGACAGAUUUUGAGACAUAUAGGU